GAUGAAGAACGCAGUGAAAUGCGAUACGUAGUGUGAAUUGCAGAAUUCAGUGAAUCAUCGAAUCUUUGAACGCACAUUGCACCUCUCGGUAUUCCGGGAGGUAUGCCUGUUCGAGCGUCAUUUGUACCCUCAAGCUCUGCUUGGUGUUGGGUGUUUGUUCCGCCUCUGUGUGUGAACUCGCCUCAAAACAAUUGGCAGCCGGCGUACUUGUUUCGGAGCGCAGCACAUUUUGCGAUCCAGAUCAACGUACAGCGGCAUCCAAGAAGCCUUAUUUAACGCUCUUGACCUCGGAUCAGGUAGGGAUACCCGCUGAACUUAAGCAUAUCAAUAAGCAGGA
RNAcentral lists this unclassified non-coding RNA (337 nucleotides) under soil metagenome. RNAcentral's name for it is "partial contains 5.8S ribosomal RNA, internal transcribed spacer 2, and large subunit ribosomal RNA". The stretch from base 1 to 120 matches the Rfam family "5.8S ribosomal RNA", at positions 35 to 154 of the family's 154-position model. The record is from RNAcentral.